AAGCAUAUGCAUCGAGUAACAUUUAUUUCCUAACCACACUACAACAGUUCAUAAUAUACCAUCACAUUGUUUGAAAGCUUAGUAGAUAUUUUUUAGGUUGAUAUACAAGGAACUCAAAAACAAAGCAGUUCAAAACAUUUGAAUUAGUCACCCCAUCACCAACAACAGCUCACAAAUUUUUAAAUAAGAGCAAGCUACAAAUAAGCAAAUGGCACUUAGAUGGUAAGAACUGUAAUAACCCGAGAUUUUCUAUAUAAAAUAAAUAAGAAAUUUUGCGUAUAAAUUUUUUUUAUUUAAUGACGAGACUAAGUGUCAAGUAAAGUGAACGAUAAAUGCGAAUACAUUUAUUACUUGAAAAAUUAGAAAUAAUUUUGGAAUUAUUAAUUACCACAAAUUAUAUGGUAAUAAAUUUCUGUAAGCCGAAAUGUUUUUAUUAAUUAUUUUCCAUGAAAACAUGAUUGGAAAUAAUAUAUGAUGUGAUAAUUAGAUUUAUAUAAUAAAUAUUUUAUUAUAUGAAUUGUUCAGAAUAUUUAAGUUAAUUAUUUUAACUUGAUUAUUGAUGAUGUGUACGAAGAAUAAGUCAGACAUGAGAUCCAAACCCUGGAUUGGGAUUGUGAUCAAGAGAUGAGAAUAAUAAUAUUAUAUUAUUUAUAUAAUGAUUUUACAGUACCAUAAUUAUGUACUGGGUAUGUGCGGACAGAUAAUAUUGAGCAAUGACGGUCAAUUAGGUCAUAGCAUAUUACCGUGCUGUGAAACCCUAAUUAUUAAACUCAGUUAUGGGAUAUUUCUGAGUAGUGACUGUGUAUAUGAAGUUACUGUGAAUAAGAAUAUCGGUAAUUAGAAGAAACCCUAAUUACUGUUGUACGUCGAUAAUUAGGACAAACCCUAAUUAUUAUAACCCUAACCGGUUGAAAUUAGAAACCGUAACGACUGUGUUAGUAACAUACACAGAUAAUUAAAGAACCACUAAUGGUCAAUUAGAAACCCUAAUUGAUGACGUUGAGAAACCCUAAUUUUAAUUACCGGGUUUAAUUUCGAUGUUAUUGUAUAAGUGUUUUAAUUUACCAAAGGAUAGAAGUUAAUUGGUAAAUUAUAAGAAUUAAAUCUAGUGAUUAAAUAUUACAUUUAAUUGCCUUGUACAAGAUUGCCCAUACACUCUUAAACAAAGCCCAACCAUCACCCAUAACAAAUCAGAAGCAAGAAUCAAGAAUUUUUGGCAAAAAGGGUAUAAGAACACUAAACCUAGAAAUCCUUUGAUUCGAUGUUAUUUGAUGCAAUUGAUUGUUUAAAGUUGUGUAAUAGAAUGUUAAUUGAUGAUAUGGGUUGAUAAAUCAAAGACCCAUAACAUCAAAGUGCACGAAUUUGAAGAUUUAAGCAAGUUGGAAAAACCGAAUUCUUUUUUUUUUUCACCAAAUGUCAGAGGCCAUAACUCUUUGCUCGAUCAUGAGUUUUGUUCUUCAAAAGUUGUUAUGUGUAGCCUGAUAUGUGGUCUUUAAUCUGCAAAAAGAAUCAAGUCCAUAUCAUGUAUAGAUUAGAAGUUAUAGAUGGUCAAACAUGGUUGACCGAUCAUGAUAAACUGUUUUUGGGCAGUCUGUAAUGGGGGCAUUCUCGUCCACUUUUUGUGCUUUAAAAGGUCUGGGCUUUUGAUAUGUUGUAGUGCACUGAGUUAGGAAGCCAUAGGCUUUGGAAUGACCUCAUUCCGACCUCGGAUGAGGGAAUUACGGUGAUUGGAAGGAAAUGUGUCAAAUUUCUCAAAACUGAAAGUCAGCAGCGGGAUGUGCUAUUCGGGACACUGUUUCGAUCAGUUAAUGUUUCCAAAACCUUCUGGGCUUUUGGUAUGUUAUAGUACACCGAAUAAGCUUUCCAUAGACUCCGAAACGGACUAAAUCCGAUAUCGGAGGAGAGAGUUAUGACAUUUCAAAGUAGUAGUGUCAAAACUUCCCAACAAGUGCGGUGCAGUCCAUUUGAACGGAAUUUCUGGGCUGAUGUGUUCGGAAUUUGGAAAUGGUCAAAGAAUAAAAGUUGUAGCCCCAGAAGUUAGCUUCGCGUGGGCUCAAGAAUCGCUCAAAAAUGUUUUAAAAUGAAAGAGUUAUGACUGUUUUAGCGAAAGAGGGUAAAGCUGAAACGAGAUUGAAAACUGUUAUGAACGUCCACUUUUGACGCACUGUUUGGGCUACCUAAUGAACCCGAAUUGGGUAAUUCGUAUUUUUUAAAAAUAGUCUUACAUACCAUGUAUAACAUAUCCAAAAAUCAGAUUAAUCGGAGUUAUGAGCAAUGCGUUAGAAAAUCGCAAAGUGAGCUAUUGAAAAAUUAGUAUAAACCAAGUCCCACAUCGACUAAAUUGAGAACUUCACCAUUUUCUAAACCUAUAAAUAGAAGGGCUUGGCCUUUGUUUCAUUCACCAACAAUAAGGCCUCCAAUUUUUGAGAAAGGCUUUGUUGUGGGAGAACUUUUUAUAAAGAUCUCCUUAGUUAAAUUUUGGCGUGGAAGUGCGUAUUCAGUCUGUGGAAUUCGUAUUUCCGGGUAUGUUUCUUAUUUAAUUUUUGUAAUGUUAUUAUUUUUAAUUGUUAGUUAAAGUUUGAAUUUUUGAAGUUUAGUUAGUGUUGUUAAUAAACUAGUUAGUUUACUAUGUUUAUUUUGGCUUGGAAUUGAUUAUGUAAAUGAGUUAUUUGUGAUGACUUUUAAUAUUUUGUGAUGAAUUUCAUUAAUUAAUAAUUAUUAAUGAUAUUAAAGUUAUUUAAUGAUUAUAUUAAAUAAUUUAGUUUAAAAAUGAUUUUAAUAUUAUAAAAAUCAUUUUAAAUGAAAAUAAGGUAUUUAAAAAUAUUUUAAGUUAUAAAAUAUAACUUUUAAUAUUUAAAUGAUAAUUUCAUUAAUAAUUAAAUAUUAAUGAUAUUAAGAUAAUAUUAAUGAUAUUUAGUUUAUUUAAUGAUUAAUAUUAAAUAAAUAGUUUAAAAAUGGUUUUACUUAUUUAAAAACCAUUUAAAGAGGAUAUUAAGGAUUUAAAAAUAUUUUAAGUUAUAAUUAAUGACUUUUAAUAUUUGGAUAAAUAGUACAUUAAUAUUUAAAUAUUAAUGGUAAUUAUUUGGGUAAUAUAAAUGUUUUAAAAAUAGUUUGAGUUAUUAUAAAUAACUUUUAUAUUUUGGCAAUGGUUUCAUUAAUAGUUUAGUAUUAAUUAAACUAUUAAUGAUAAUGGAAUUGUUUAAUGUUUAAAUCAUUUAAUUAUGAUUCCGAUAUUUGAAAGUUAUAGCCGGCCAAACUAGCUGACUUGAGAACCGAUUAUGAAGUUCUGAAUUUGAAGAAGAACACCUAUAGUAACAGUUAUAUCACUAUAGGCCCUUUAGUGACAGAUUUGAAUUAUUUUAAAUUUUUCAAUUUCUGGAAAUUGCGAAAAUGAUUAAAAAUAAGAUGUCUGAUAUUUACAGAUGUUGAGGUAUAGAAUAAGAGUCUUAGACUCAGUAUUUACCCGAUAAAGCUGUCGGUACGCCGACAAAUGUCAGACCUUAUAAAAGAAAGAAAAGACUACUGUAAGAGCAUGGAUGAGAUAUUUGAAAAAUGUAUAAAAAUAUUUCAAGUAUAGAAUAGGAACUAAAAGUAUGAUCACUGUGAUUAUGUGAUUAGACUAUGUGCUGACUGUAAUAGACAGUACUAUGUGUUAAGAUAUAUUGUUCUAAUCGAACGAAUGAUCUGAUUAUUGAUAGGUUGUGAUAAAGAGAUAAAACCUAAGUUGAGAUUUGUAAUCAGCGAAUCAGGCAAGUAUCCUACCUUUGCAUUUUCUUUAUGCAAUGGACAUGAGUAAGAAGUUUCAGAAUUAUUCUAUUCCUGUACAGAUUAUGUACGCUUUGAUUAUCAACAUGUUAGCUCAGAUAUAUAUUCUGUUAAGUUGAUUUCUAAAUGGUUAUACAAGUGUCCCCACUUGGAUAACCAUGGCAUUUAUUCACAUGUUGAUAUACCUCUGUCAAUUACCCGUAUACAUAUAUGUUGAAUUACAUAUUAUUGUUGAGCAAGAUUAAAAACCUUCGGGUUUGGAACCAGGCAUGUAUGAACAUCCCUAUAUGGGAAGAUUUUUGCGCCCAAGGCGGAUAGAGUGAGCGAUGAAUUUCGUUCAAGUUAUGUAGUAUUGAUCAAUACAGGGUACAACGGGGCUGAUCACCCUCCGUGCCCGUAAGCUAGAGCGGUUUGCGGAUGGAUUUCUGCCAAACCUUUUCGAAAAUGAAAAGAAUGUUCAUAGUAUGAUUCUUAAACCCUAUUCAUGGGUAGAGCCAGAGCCAAAUUUAAAUAAUUUGGAAGAGAUUUGUUAUGUGAAUUUUUUAUCAGUACAGAUUACUUCACAACUUUCGAUUCGUUGUAGAAGUGUUAUGUAAAGAGAAUACUUAUAUUCUUUCAGCUUAUAUAUAUAAUUGCUAUUACUUGCUGGGCACUCAAAUGCUCAUCCUUGCUUAAAUUAAAUGUUUUCAGUUAUGUAUGAGCAACCUGAAGGCUCAGGCACGAACAAAGGAAAAGGAAAGCUGAUCGAAUAAGUGUGUAUCAUGAGUUAAUGGUUAUAGUUGUAUUGGUAUCUAUUCAAGUAUUAUAAGGAAUGUAUUUGAAGGUCACGUACCUGGGGAAGUAAACUUUGAUGUAUGUAAAUUAAGUUCGAAUGUAUUAUUAUUUUAGUAUUAUUCAGCUUAAAGAAAUGGUAUCGUGGAGAACCGAGUUCGGGUUUCAAGUACCUGGAUUUGGGGUCUUCACAAGAACAACAUGUUAGAGUUUAAUAUAUGCAAGAAUUUGGGCUACAAUAAAAGCACACCAAUUUUCAACAAUAAACCCAGAAAUUAAAAUGUCAAACAGAAAUAGUAAGAAAAAUUAGUAAAAAUUAAAAACAAACAUAAAACGGUCAAGCUGCAAGAAAAUAAAUAGAAAAACAAACCUCAAGAAAAUCAAUUUCUAUCCCAACAUUUGAACCUUAGCCAACUCUCGGCGCUUCCCAUACAAAUCUGGGUACUCUGGCGGCGAUUUAGGACACGGUGGUGGCAGUGAUGGCACUUUAGAAGUUCCCCUUUUGGCAGCAUCCAUUUUAUCAAAAAUCCUGCUUGCUUCCAAUAUUUUUUACUCAACAGAGUUGAUGUAACUGAAUGCGGUAGUUAUACAUACAUACACAGAUUUAUAUAAGUAUAUACAUAAAAAUAUAAGAAAAGGAGGAGCCGAGGAGGACUCACCGUUGCCCGUCGUCACCGACUUCCGAUUUAGAGUCGAGUCUUCGAGAUCUGAGAUGAGACAAGAGUAACAGAGUUUGGGAUGAUUCUUAUCACUUGAGAUCUGAGACGAGAUCUGGGUUUGGGAUGAUUCGUCACUUGAGAGUUGAGAGAUUCAGAUUGAGAGAAUGAGAGUUUGAGACUUGAGAUGAUGAGACGAGAGUAUCAAAGUUGUUCGACUUUAGAGUCGGUCAGUCCACUAGGGCUAAUAAAGUAGUAAUGACUAAUACGCUGAGGACUUUAUUUAAUUUCAAGUUUUCACAUCAGCGUCAUGUUUUAAACGUCCAUGUUUUUGACUUACACAACAUUUUUAAAAAAAACGUUAUCUAUUUAAAAUCAAAAAAAUGGCCAUUUAAAUAGAUAACGUUUUUGCAUAUGUAUCUACAACGUUUUUUUAAAAACGUUGUAAAAAAAAAAUACCACAACGUUUUUAUAAAAAACGUUGUCUUUUAAGCGUUGUCUAUUUACUAUUUUAUGGUAGUGUAAAAAGGCUAAAAUAGAUGAUAUAUAUUUUUCUUUUUGGACAACAAUUUGGAGAACCCAACAUCGAGUUUUGAAUUACCAUGUACAUUGCGGUCAACCCCAAUUCGAUAUGGAUCAAAGAUUAAUGAUUCAGAUCAUGGAACAGGAGUACGAAGAAGCAGUUGAGGGUGGAAUAUGCCCUAUAGCAAAAGUCAAUUCUAGCGGUAAUUAUGACACCAAAGGCUGUCCCAGAAAAGUCAAAAUUGGUGGUUCAAGUGAGAGCGCCUUUCCUAAUUUCCCAAAAAAUGAGGAACCGAACGAGGUGAUCAUGGGUAAGCUAAUCAUAAACUCUUGCGAAGUUUAUACCUUAUUAGAUACCGGUUCUACCAUUCUUUUAAUUCUUCUGCUUGUGCUCAACGUUUGAACUUAAUCCUUGAGAAAUUAGACUUUGACUUAUCUGUUGAAACUCUGUUAGGAGAAACUUUCGUUACAUCCACAGUUUAUAAAUAUUGCUUGAUUCAAGUUGGGACCAUCACAUUACCUGUCGAUCUUAUUUCUUUGAAAAUACUUGCAUUUGAUGUGAAUUUAGGAAUUGAUUGGUUAACUACUUAUCAUGCCAAAAUUGAUUAUUUUCGUAAGGUUGUUAAUUUUCAUAUUCCUAACCAACAUGUUA
RNAcentral lists this long non-coding RNA (6366 nucleotides) under Panax ginseng (ginseng). RNAcentral describes it as "long non-coding RNA (PGIN_LNC017681)". The record is from RNAcentral. Lineage: Eukaryota; Viridiplantae; Streptophyta; Magnoliopsida; Apiales; Araliaceae.